GUAUACGUAGUGGCAAGCGUAUCCGGAUUUAUNGGGCGUAAAGCGAGCGCAGGCGGUUUUUAAGUCUGAUGUGAAAGCCCUCGGCUUAACCGAGGAAGCGCAUCGGAAACUGGGAAACUUGAGUGCAGAAGAGGACAGUGGAACUCCAUGUGUAGCGGUGAAAUGCGUAGAUAUAUGGAAGAACACCAGUGGCGAAGGCGGCUGUCUGGUCUGUAACUGACGCUGAGGCUCGAAAGCAUGGGUAGCGAACAGGAUUAGAUACCCUGGUAGUCCAUGCCGUAAACGAUGAAUGCUAGGUGUUGGAGGGUUUCCGCCCUUCAGUGCCGCAGCUAACGCAUUAAGCAUUCCGCCUGGGGAGUACGACCGCAAGGUUGAAACUCAAAGGAAUUGACGGGGGCCCGCACAAGCGGUGGAGCAUGUGGUUUAAUUCGAAGCAACGCGAAGAACCUUACCAGGUCUUGACAUCUUUUGAUCACCUGAGAGAUCAGGUUUCCCCUUCGGGGGCAAAAUGACAGGUGGUGCAUGGUUGUCGUCAGCUCGUGUCGUGAGAUGUUGGGUUAAGUCCCGCAACGAGCGCAACCCUUAUGACUAGUUGCCAGCAUUUAGUUGGGCACUCUAGUAAGACUGCCGGUGACAAACCGGAGGAAGGUGGGGAUGACGUCAAAUCAUCAUGCCCCUUAUGACCUGGGCUACACACGUGCUACAAUGGAUGGUACAACGAGUUGCGAGACCGCGAGGUCAAGCUAAUCUCUUAAAGCCAUUCUCAGUUCGGACUGUAGGCUGCAACUCGCCUACACGAAGUCGGAAUCGCUAGUAAUCGCGGAUC
Molecule: ribosomal RNA, 826 nt
Filed under: Lacticaseibacillus casei
Lineage: Bacteria; Bacillati; Bacillota; Bacilli; Lactobacillales; Lactobacillaceae
Description: bacterial SSU rRNA
Rfam family: Bacterial small subunit ribosomal RNA
Source: RNAcentral